UCGAUACUGCUGUGACUCGAGUUCGGUAGAGGAGUGUGGAAUUCCUGGUGUAGCGGUGAAAUGCGCAGAUAUCAGGAGGAACACCAACGGCGAAGGCAGCACUCUGGGCCGAAACUGACACUGAAGAGCGAAAGCAUGGGGAGCAAACAGGAUUAGAUACCCUGGUAGUCCAUGCCGUAAACGUUGGGCACUAGGUGUGGGGCCUUAUCAACGGGUUCCGUGCCGCAGCUAACGCAUUAAGUGCCCCGCCUGGGGAGUACGGCCGCAAGGCUAAAACUCAAAGGAAUUGACGGGGGCCCGCACAAGCGGCGGAGCAUGUUGCUUAAUUCGAGGCAACGCGAAGAACCUUACCUGGGUUUGACAUGUACCGAAAAGCCGUAGAGAUACGGUGUCCUUCGGGGCGG
This 404-nucleotide ribosomal RNA is filed under the name uncultured Actinomycetes bacterium. Its description in RNAcentral is "bacterial SSU rRNA". It matches the Rfam family "Bacterial small subunit ribosomal RNA", at positions 627 to 1029 of the family's 1533-position model. The record is from RNAcentral. Lineage: Bacteria; Bacillati; Actinomycetota; Actinomycetes.